Astyanax mexicanus (Mexican tetra) is the source of this 54-nucleotide regulatory RNA element. It matches the Rfam family "UnaL2 LINE 3' element". Rfam says of the family: The eel long interspersed element (LINE) UnaL2 and its partner short interspersed element (SINE) share a conserved 3' tail containing a stem-loop that is critical for their retrotransposition. Presumably, the first step of retrotransposition is the recognition of their 3' tails by UnaL2-encoded reverse transcriptase. The solution structure of a 17-nucleotide RNA derived from the 3' tail of UnaL2 was determined by NMR. The record is from Rfam. Lineage: Eukaryota; Metazoa; Chordata; Actinopteri; Characiformes; Acestrorhamphidae.
AUGUGAUGUGAUUGUAAGUCGCUUUGGAUAAAAGCGUCUGCCAAAUGAAAUGUA